GCAAGUCGAACGAGAAAGUACCUUCGGGUGCGAGUAGAGUGGCGCACGGGUGAGUAACACGUAGGUGACCUGCCUUUUAGUUGGGGAUAACUCGAAGAAAUUCGGGCUAAUACCGAAUACGAAUCACAAAUUUGGAUAUAGUGAUAGAAAGGGUGCCUCUCCUUGGAAGCACUCACUAAAAGAUGGGCCUGCGGUGCAUUAGCUUGUUGGUGGGGUAACGGCCUACCAAGGCAAUGACGCUUAACUGGUUUGAGAGGAUGAUC
Molecule: ribosomal RNA, 263 nt
Filed under: uncultured bacterium
Lineage: Bacteria
Description: partial 16S ribosomal RNA
Rfam family: Bacterial small subunit ribosomal RNA
Source: RNAcentral